Molecule: long non-coding RNA, 1044 nt
Filed under: Anser brachyrhynchus (Pink-footed goose)
Lineage: Eukaryota; Metazoa; Chordata; Aves; Anseriformes; Anatidae
Description: lncRNA (ENSABRG00000017069.1)
Source: RNAcentral
GUCUUUGAUGGCAUUGAGAUCAUUGGGACCAGACGUGAAUGCCUGAACUGCAGUCCAGCGUUGGCUGACACAAAGUGGAGGCCCAGGGUCUGGUCCAACAUCAGUGGAUAUAAAUUGGAAUCCUCCUUGAUUCCAGUGGGCUUGGGCUCAGGUUUGCUUUUGUGGAGAAGUAAUUCCUUGGCUCUGGCAGAUCAACUCCUGCUCCACCUGACAAGUAAGCUUGAGGAGGCGGCGUGCAGCAGCAUCAUCGCCCUCAUGCUCCUUUCCUCAUUGGCUUUCUCAUCAAGGGCGAGUAUGUGGGAAGCCAUCCCUGUGCACUUUUUCAUGACUUUUUUCCAUUUUCAAGUUGUGUAGCGCCCACAGAAAGGUGUCUAGAGUUGGUGGGCUGCCCAGUUCCCUGCCUGGCUGUCUGGGUUGGAAGAAAAAGGAGGCAUUGCAAACUAAAAACAGAAUUUUUCAAGGCCGAAUUCUUCCUCCACUGAUUAGUUGAUCUUUCCUGAACUGAUCAUCAAAGUGAACGUGGACAUGGGUGUCACUCUACCUUUUUUAAGCUGAAUUUUUCCUAUAUGAGAAGCUAAACAACUCUUUCUGAUCUUGAGUAGAUUUUUUGACUUCUCUACGCUAUCUGAGGAAGGCUAUUCAGCCCUUCCUUCGAAGGUUUUAUUCCCAUUCCAACCCACCCCCACCACCCACCCACAAGCAACUGGCAUCUGUGACAUGUGAGCAAAAAAUCCCGUUCUCUAAUGUACCAGCUGUCGUUGUUUUAGAAGCAUUGCCUCAUUCAUUUUCAGACUGGUUGGCUGAAGGUCUUUGCUCUAAGGUGAACAGUUCAAGAUUAUAGAUUUCAAUCUUCUUCCUUUGGGAUUCUGGGAUUUGCUGCUGUUGUUGACUUCAGUAGAAACAGGUUUGGACACCUAAUGCAUCUUAAAACCAAUGUGGGGAAGUGUCACGCGGUGAAUCUACUUGCAUUGGAUCUGUUCUGCAAGAUGUGUUACUGAUGGAGUUUUAAAUAAACACAGGGAUGUUUGGAAAUAUUUUGUGUAU